AUACGUAGGGGGCGAGCGUUGUCCGGAUUUAUUGGGCGUAAAAGGCUUGUAGGUGGCCACGGCAAGUCGGAUGUGAAAUCUCCCGGCUCAACUGGGAGGGGUCAUUCGAUACUGCCGGGCUCGAGGCCGGUAGGGGGAAGCGGAAUUCCCGGUGUAGUGGUGGAAUGCGUAGAUAUCGGGAGGAAUACCAGAGGCGAAGGCGGCUUCCUGGACCGGUCCUGACACUGAGGAGCGAAAGCGUGGGGAGCGAUCCG
This 254-nucleotide ribosomal RNA is filed under the name uncultured prokaryote. RNAcentral's name for it is "partial 16S ribosomal RNA". It matches the Rfam family "Bacterial small subunit ribosomal RNA", at positions 523 to 775 of the family's 1533-position model. The record is from RNAcentral.